This 464-nucleotide ribosomal RNA is filed under the name Vreelandella stevensii. RNAcentral describes it as "partial 16S ribosomal RNA". It matches the Rfam family "Bacterial small subunit ribosomal RNA", at positions 338 to 795 of the family's 1533-position model. The record is from RNAcentral. Lineage: Bacteria; Pseudomonadati; Pseudomonadota; Gammaproteobacteria; Oceanospirillales; Halomonadaceae.
CCUACGGGGGGCUGCAGUGGGGAAUAUUGGACAAUGGGGGGAACCCUGAUCCAGCCAUGCCGCGUGUGUGAAGAAGGCCCUCGGGUUGUAAAGCACUUUCAGUGAGGAAGAACGCCUGGUGGUUAAUACCCAUCAGGAAAGACAUCACUCACAGAAGAAGCACCGGCUAACUCCGUGCAGCAGCCGCGGUAAUACGGAGGGUGCGAGCGUUAAUCGGAAUUACUGGGCGUAAAGCGCGCGUAGGUGGCUUGAUAAGCCGGUUGUGAAAGCCCCGGGCUCAACCUGGGAACGGCAUCCGGAACUGUCAAGCUAGAGUGCAGGAGAGGAAGGUAGAAUUCCCGGUGUAGCGGUGAAAUGCGUAGAGAUCGGGAGGAAUACCAGUGGCGAAGGCGGCCUUCUGGACUGACACUGACACUGAGGUGCGAAAGCGUGGGUAGCAAACAGGAUUAGAUACCCGAGUAGUC